Molecule: non-coding RNA, 76 nt
Organism: Aedes albopictus (Asian tiger mosquito)
Lineage: Eukaryota; Metazoa; Arthropoda; Insecta; Diptera; Culicidae
Source: Rfam
UGUUCUGUGUUGUAGUUGGUUAACGCACUCUGUCUAGUGAACUGGGGAGUCGUGGGUUCAAAUCUCACCAGAACUA